UAAGACGAACUGUGCGAACGUUAUUCGGAAUCACUGGGCUUACAGGGUGCGUAGGCGGCCAGGUAAGUAGGGUGUGAAAUCCCCCGGCCCAACCGGGGAACUGCGCUCUAAACUACCUGGCUUGAGUGAGCUAGGGGUCCACGGAACUUCCAGUGGAGCGGUGAAAUGUGUUGAUAUUGGAAGGAACACCGGAGGCGAAAGCGGUGGACUGGGGCUUAACUGACGCUGAGGCACGAAAGCCAGGGGAGCGAACGGGAUUAGAUACCCCGGUAGUCCUGGCCGUAAACGAUGAGCACUGGGCGGGAGGAGGUUCGCCUUCUCCGGCCGUAGCGAAAGCGUUAAGUGCUCCGCCUGGGGAGUAUGGUCGCAAGGCUG
Molecule: ribosomal RNA, 375 nt
Filed under: uncultured bacterium
Lineage: Bacteria
Description: bacterial SSU rRNA
Rfam family: Bacterial small subunit ribosomal RNA
Source: RNAcentral